CGUGUAGGCGGGAAUGCAAGUCAGAUGUGAAAUUCCGAGGCUUAACCUCGGCGCUGCAUCUGAAACUGUGUUUCUUGAGUGCUGGAGAGGAAAGCGGAAUUCCUAGUGUAGCGGUGAAAUGCGUAGAUAUUAGGAGGAACACCAGUGGCGAAGGCGGCUUUCUGGACAGUAACUGACGCUGAGGCGCGAAAGCGUGGGGAGCAAACAGGAUUAGAUACCCUGGUAGUCC
This 229-nucleotide ribosomal RNA is filed under the name uncultured bacterium. RNAcentral's name for it is "partial 16S ribosomal RNA". It matches the Rfam family "Bacterial small subunit ribosomal RNA", at positions 568 to 796 of the family's 1533-position model. The record is from RNAcentral.